GACGAACGCUGGCGGCGUGCUUAACACAUGCAAGUCGAACGGAAAGGCCUUUUCGGAGGUACUCGAGUGGCGAACGGGUGAGUAACACGUGGGUGAUCUGCCCUGCACUCUGGGAUAAGCCUGGGAAACUGGGUCUAAUACCGGAUAGGACCGCACUUUAGUGUGUGUGGUGGAAAGUUUUUUCGGUGUAGGAUGAGCCCGCGGCCUAUCAGCUUGUUGGUGGGGUAAUGGCCUACCAAGGCGGCGACGGGUAGCCGGACUGAGAGGUUGGUCGGCCACAUUGGGACUGAGAUACGGCCCAGACUCCUACGGGAGGCAGAAGGGGGGAAUAUUGCACAAUGGGCGCAAGCCUGAUGCAGCGACGCCGCGUGGGGGAUGACGGCCUUCGGGUUGUAAACUCCUUUCGCCAGGGACGUAGCGUUUUGUGACGGUACCUGGAGAAGAAGCACCGGCUAACUACGUG
This 463-nucleotide ribosomal RNA is filed under the name uncultured bacterium. RNAcentral's name for it is "partial 16S ribosomal RNA". It matches the Rfam family "Bacterial small subunit ribosomal RNA", at positions 28 to 507 of the family's 1533-position model. The record is from RNAcentral.